Molecule: ribosomal RNA, 402 nt
Filed under: bacterium
Lineage: Bacteria
Description: partial 16S ribosomal RNA
Rfam family: Bacterial small subunit ribosomal RNA
Source: RNAcentral
UGGGGAAUUUUGCACAAUGGGGGAAACCCUGAUGCAGCGACGCCGCGUGAUUUAGAAGGCCUUCGGGUUGUACAAAUCUUUUCUUUGGGAAGAAAAUGACAGUACCAUAGGAAUAAGGACCGGCUAAUUACGUGCCAGCAGCCGCGGUAAUACGUAAGGUCCGAGCGUUGUCCGGAAUCAUUGGGCGUAAAGGGUACGUAGGCGGGUAAGCAAGUUAGAAGUGAAAUCCUAUAGGGCAACUAUAGUAAGCUUUUAAAACUGCUCAUGUUGAAGUAUGGAAGGGAAAGUGGAAUUAAGAGUGUAGUGGUGAAAUGCGCAGAUAUUAGGAGAAAGAGCGGAGGAGGAGGCGACUUUCUAGACAUAACCUGACGAUGAGGUACGAAAGCGUGGGUAGCAAACAGG